RNAcentral lists this long non-coding RNA (6986 nucleotides) under Pelobates cultripes (western spadefoot toad). The record is from RNAcentral. Lineage: Eukaryota; Metazoa; Chordata; Amphibia; Anura; Pelobatidae.
GUGAGCCAGAAUGUGUUAGAAGCCGUUGAAUCGUCUCCUUGCGUUGUGAUCUGGCUGUUUGGUUGCACUUAAACUUCCUUCUCACAAUGACACCACACAUACCAAUUUUGGUAAGUCUUAUAUUGUGUGAAUGGAAUGAGUAAGUGACACAAUCAGCAUCAUACAUUUUUAAUAUAUAAAUUCUUACAUAAUAAAACAAUACUGUUUAUUUUUAUGAGCAUUUAUAUACAUGAACAUUUCAUAUUAGUGCUUAAAUAUACACAAAAGAUUACGUAUGAGCUUUUUAAAAUAUUUUACACAAAUCCGUCUUUGUACAUAAACUAGUGUCUCCAUGACUUCAAGUGUCUAUAUGCUGUUUGCUUGCUAGUGUGUAUCCAUGUACUAUUGUGUCUGUGUGUUGCUAAUUUGGUUGCAUAAGUAGCUGAUCAUGUAUGUGAGACUAAACAUGCAAAUGUUUGUGUGGAUUAUGGGACCCCGCACAUUUUUUUUCUCCAAGGUAAAGAUGACCCUGGUUAUGUGGUUAUGGUAAGCAAGUCUGUGCUUCAUAAACAGGGGCGUGCAGAAGAGUAUGGUGUUGCAGCAAGUAUAACAUCCACUAUAAAAGAUAAUGUAGGUUUACAGUAGGCUACAGGUUUCAAUUAGGUAGGUUCUUUAUUUAAAGGCUUGAGGAAAUGUGUUUGAAAAUUUAAAAUGAAAUAAACUGGCCACAUGCACAUUUAAUUCUACCAACAAUACAAUAUUAGCAUCCACAAUGCCCUGGGUAAAAUUCUACACACAUUUUGAAAUGAUACACAUGAAGCGAAAAAACACCAGUGAUCUAAUAAAAAGUUUGACCUAAAGUUUUUGAAACUCGUCAUUUCUGUAACUCAACUGUCCCACUAUAAAAAAGUCCAAUUCAUAUUCACCGCUUAUAUACAUUAUUCUCUUUGAAAUGUAUUUGCAACUCUCUUGUGUCCAGGGUUUAUUUCCUUGAGACUUGACUUGAAUCACUCCUUUUCAAACACAGCCCACUGAACAUUACAGUUUCUAAAACAAGUUUCUGAUGCAGGUAGCACGUAUUUAAUGAUCUGUUCAUAGAUCAACAUAUACAGGGUUCUUUACUAAAGUGAGAAGUCAAAGUGAAUUCAAAGUGAAUUUCACAUUUAAGGCCAAAGUAGCCAACCUGAAAGCGUAGCUGUCUUAGAGAAUGUUUAUGUAUCUGCUAUUUUGAUCUUAAUUUUGAAAUUCACUUUGAAUUCUCACUUUAGUGUAUAACUCUAAUAGAGAGCAUUGGUUUCACUCACUCUGAUUUACCUAAUUAUUUUUUCCUGAGUUAUUUAGAAUUUCAGAAUGUUGCUGCCUUUGAUCGAUUCAUACUCUUAUUAUUUUAAACGUUUGUCUUUUCAUGACAUCAAAAAGUAUGUUUUACUAGACAUAAGCACCAAAAUUAUAGAAGCACAGCAACGUUCUGCCAAUUUGUCCAAGCUCCUUCCUCAAAAUACAAAAAUAAACCCCUCUAAUUGAGUGUGAAAAGUCCCAUAGAAAAAUAUGGAAACCCCAAACACGGGUGUACUUGUGACAAACUACACUUUGCCACUGUUUUUUGGAGGGUCCUGCUUGCACGCCUCCUACCCUGGGACUAUGGGAACUGUGAUAACCUAUGUUAAAAAGUACUGUUUCUGCCCCUUGGACUUUUAACUGGAACAGAUUCAAACAUGUGGCGGCGGCCAUCUUAAAUUGUCCAGCAGUGUUUUGCCGUUGAGUGUUUGUAUGUCAGCCAUCAGUUAAAGUCAAAUCUUAGGCAUGUGGAGUGUGACUAGGAAAAUGUGGAAGCUUUAUGGGUAGAUAUCUGCUUGAGGCAAACACUGGGAAAUAAAUUAUUGGUUGGGAUAUGUUAUAAACCACCAAAUGUAAAUAUUAAUGCGGAAGAACUGCUGUUAGAGCAAAUUGGGAAAGCUGCAAAUCGGGGUAACGCGUUAAUUAUUGAAGAUUUUAAUCACCCGGACAUAAAUUGGGAUAGAGGGACUAGUACUUCAGCAAGGGGAAUCCAGUUUUUGAAUGUGUUAAAUGACGACACCUUUAUGUCACAACUGGUACAAGCACCAACUAGAAAGGAUGCUUAUCUGGAUCUCGUUAUAACAAACAAUGUUGGUCUUUUAACCAACAUUCAAGUUGAGGAGCAUUUGGGAAAUAGUGAUCACAAAAUGGUAACUUUUGAAAUAAAUUCAAAAAAGCAAAAGCACGUGGGGUAUAUUAAAAUAUAUAAUUUUAAAAAAGCCAAUUUUAAUAAGAUUAAGGCAACAUAUCGACUGGCAUAAACUCCUUAGUGAUAAAAACACUGAGGAAAAAUGGAAACUAUUCAAACAAAUAUUAGAAAUGUACAUUUCACAGUAUGUACCAUUGGGUAAUAGAGAUUAAAAAUAAGAAAAGGGCAUUUAAAGCAUUUAAAUCGGACAAAUCAGAGGCAUCCUAUAUAAGAUAUAGGGAAGCCAAUAAUACUUGCAAAAAGGCAAUUAAAGUGGCUAAACUAGAAAAUGAGAAACUGAUAGCCAAAGAAUGCAAAACCAACCCCAAAUUUUUUUAUCAAGUACAUCAAUUCCACAGACACCACAGACAACUAUUCCUAUGAGAGGCUAAAUCAGAGGAUGUGGGUCUGCUUCACUCUGUUGUCGCACUGUUUCUGGUAAUCAACCUUUCUUAUUUACAUGUACCAAUUGUAGGCUGUUUAACCUUUUUAGUGGUCUCAACUAACACUAGACCCUGGCAUUCUUCAGAUAAUAACAGGUGUUCAGAUAGACUUUGUGUCUGAUUCACUAUAGGGAGUCCACUUGACCUCUAUAAAUGUCUCAACCAGACGACGUAGCAUUGCAGUCCGAGCUCUGGAGCCUCAGGGACAAAGGAGCUAUCAAACCAUCGAGCUCUUCUCCAGAAUUCAUCAGCAAUAUAUUCCUAGUCAGAAGAAAUCUGGGAAAUUUUGUGCUGUCAUCAAAUUAGGAGACCUAAAUCUUUCCGUUGUGUAUGGACAUGUCAAGAUGGAGGCCAUUCAUCAUUUAUGUGACCUUCUCUGCGAGGGAGAUUCAUUCUCUUGCUUCAACCUCACUGUUCCAAUGGCCCACUCCUAUCAGUGUUGCCUACAACUCCUUUGGCAUCUCAACCUCUGGCAAUUCACCUGCCUCCUUUUCAGUCUCUCAUCCGUCCCUUGGUGCUUCACCAAACUGAUGAAACCAGUUAUGGCUCUUCUGCAUUCUCAAAGUGUCAGGUCCAUUAUAUACUUCAACAACAACUUUUUGAUUUCUCAGUACAUGGAAACUCAUGGACGACACAUGGAGAUGACGACGCACUCCUUCAAAAUCUCGGUUUUGUGAUCAACGUCGAGAAAUUUGCACAUGUUCCUUUACAAUUUCUGAUUUUUCCGAUAUACGCACUCUAUCCUCCAGCUCUUAUCCUCAAAAAUAAAAACCAUCAAGGAGGACACAAUCGAAAACUACUAUGCUCCCCUCACAUCUAUUUUUUCAAAUUUGCAAGAAUCAUAGGUCUCCUAUCCACUUCCAUUCCAGCCAUCUUCCCGAGCCCAUUGCACUAAAGAGAGACUCAAUGCCUCAAAACGUACUAUCUGCAAAAAUCUAUGUCCUAUGAUCAACAAAUGUAUCUGACCCAGGAAGUCUGUUUUGGAGUUGGAUUGGUGGCUCCACAAUAUAAAACUAUGGAACAGAAAAGCAAUAAUAGGCUACCAGCAGGAUGUCACCCUACAAUUAGAUGCCAGUCUUUAUGGCUGGGGGAACAACCUUUUGGUUUCCGUCAGAACAGGCUUUAAACAUAUACACAAUUGCCUAGAAUUAAUUGUCAGUUUUUUUGCAGUACACAGCUUUGCCAAGGACACCUACAAUUGCUUGUUUGUUCUUUGGAUGGACAAUGGUUCAGCUUUCCAUUUUGUGAAUCAUUUAGAUGGUUCAUGUUCCAAACUCUUCCUGAAGAAACUUUACCAGUUUUGCUUAGACAAGAACCUGUUCCUUUGAGUGAAAUAUCUUCUGAGUCCGAACAACCUUGUGGCAAACUGGUUCUCUCAUCACAGACUCAAGGGAUUGGCAAUUGGAUCCACACAUUUUCCAUCAUCUUCAUCUCAUUCAUGGUCUUCUUUACCUAGACCUCUUCUCUUCCCACUUGAAGCACCAGAAGCUUUCUUUGGCUGGAUACCAGACCCACCGGCUCAUGCACGUGUACCUUCAAUCAUGGCCAAUGUCAGGAGCUUAUGCUUUUCCACUUAUGAUUCUCCUAACUCUACACAAACUCAGAGCUCUUGGUGUUACAAUCUACCUUAUCACUCCUCUUUAGAGCAACGUAUGAUAUUCUCCAGUAGGCGAAUUUCACCCUCUCAUUUUUUAGAGUAACCUUCAGCACAUGGCUUAGACAGUUUCAGGAGAUCUUGGAAUGUCUCAGGACUUUUGAGCACUGCUCUAGGACUACAAGGGGAUUCAUGGGCUCACAGAACAUGCAGUUCCUACCUCUCCAUUUGGCAGAUCUGGAAUAGCUGGUAUGUGAAAGGGAUAGCGAUCCCUUUGCAGCAUCUUUAAUUGGCAUCAUGGCUUUCUUGUUUCCUUCUUUAACCAAGGUAAAUCCUUCAAUCUGUUAUACUAUUUUGUUCCACUACUUCCAUGGCUUCUGUCUCUAUUGGCAACUUAUUAAUAGGCAGGUAUUCCUUUGUCUGAAAACUCUUAAGAGAUAUCAGGCUCCUACUCUUCUCUCUUCAAAGUUCUGAGAUGUGGCACAAGUUUUUACAUUUUUGAAAUGUAAACCUUCUUAUUCAGAUGUUUCUGUAUGACAACUUUCAGCUAAACUAGCCUUACUCAUUUGUCUGAUUUCCUUUUGGUGAGUUUUUACAAGGAAUAGUUAAAGGAUAUUAACAUGCAUAGCUUGGAGGAAAGACGAGACAGGGAGGAUGUGAUAGAAACAUUUAAAUACAUAAAGGGAAUCAACACAGUAAAGAAAAACUACCACAACAAGAGGAUUAAAUUAGAGGGGCAAAGGUUUAAAAAUAAUAUCAGGAAGUAUUACUUUACUGAGAGGGUAGUAGAUGCAUGGAAUAGCCUUCAAGCUGAUGUGGUAGAGGUUAACACAGUGAAGGAGUUUAAGCAUGCAUGGGAUAGGCAUAAGACUAUCCUAGCUAUAAGAUAAGGCCAGGGACUAAUGAAAAUAUUUAGAAAACUGGGCAGACUAAAUGGGCCGAAUGGUUCUUCUCUGCCGUCACAUUCUAUAUUUCUAUGUUAUUUUUAUUAGACCUUUUUGAUUUCCAUGCUGUAGUUUUUCCACCAGAAAGGGUUUAUUUUUCUAUCACCCUUUGCACAAAAACCUCUUUCAUCUUCUGUGUUCUAUCUGUACUUUCCAGACACUGACUGUGGCAGACCUGGUAUCAAUCCCUGAGGUUGCCAGGACCCAUAUUUCAUUUUCCUGAACAAUACCAUAUACCCCUGUUUGGGAACCAAACAGAACUUGUAUGGCCCCCCUCGUUAUUGACUUAGAACACCCCUGGCUGUUGACCACAGUUAAAGGAUUAACACAAGUGCUUUCCUUGGCUGUCCGCUGUUCGUAUAGCCAAACGCAUGUGGUCCAGUGCAUGGCGGCCAUUUUGUCUCACAGGCAGCAGUACUUGCUCGUCGAGAGCAUAGAACUAAUUUUGGAUUCACGUAUUCGUGAACCACAGUCAGGAUGGUACUGCUGCCUGUAUACGUUCAUGACCAACUACGUUCAGGAGAUAGGAAUGACUGACCGGGGGAGCAUUCGUUUCCGAAGAGCCCGGGGGGAGCGUUCAUCUGUGUUCGUACAGGAACUCCGGAAUGUAUACCGGCCACUGCCCUGGAUUCUAUGGAACUCUUUUGGGGCAUCACCUCGUGGCCGGCCGGUCAAAUCUUUUCCAGAAUAGCGAUCCUGUUCUGCCAAACCAAUCUGAGCGCUUUUCGGAUAUGUUUUGCACUUAGAUACAGGCUAUUUGGGGAUAUAAGAAUUGUGGGGUUCCUGUAAUGUUUUAUUAUAUUUUCUGGAGUGUUUUAUAAUAUUUUAUGUAUUUCCUGUAACUGAGAGAAUUGAGUUAUGAAAAUUCCCAGCUCAAUUAUCUCUCAGACCAAAGAAGCUGUGCAUUAAAAGCCGUGUGUGGGCUUAUAAAAAUCAGUUGACUCCCAGAACUGUGUCGUCCAGUUACUGGGGGAAUGGGCUAUGAUCACUGACCAGCGUUUUCUUCCAGCUCCAGAGGAUUCCAACGGAGAUCAUGUAUCUUAGGAUUGCAGCUCCGCUACACUGACCCUCUUCUCAUGUAUCUUUCCUUUUGAUUUCCACAAGUUAAAAUAGCAAAUAUGAAGCAUCUUGUCUUGCUUUAAAAUUAGGGAUUAUUCUAGCUUUAGUGACCGAAUAAUCUGAAUUUUAUUAAAGAAAGGUGGCAAAUAUUUUCCAACCCUUUCUUUUUUUUUUCCCUCCCUGAAUUUAGGUCACUAACUCUCUAACUGAUUUUCUUGUCUGGUUAAAUUUAUAUGUUAUCAUUCAUGAUUACAUUGAAUACAUGAUUGCGUAUUCUAUAUUGGUCUUAUGCUAUCAUAUCAUGAGUAGUAUUCAUUUUGACAUAUUUUGCCAUAAUUGUGAACUACUUAAAGGUUAUUGCAUGUCUUUGCAUGUUUCUCACCCUUAUCAAGAACCAUACCAUACUCAGAGUAUUUUCUCUUCCUUUUUAGUGUGAAGAACUGUCUCCACUAUCAAGGCGCUUCUCUUGUUCUUCAUAAAGUUUCCUGUUUACAUGGUUCUCUACAUCGCAUCUCGUUUGGACUGUUCCUGUUGAUAUGGUUGACUACAUUGGAGUGGCUGCAAUAAAUAAAGAGGAAGUGGGAGGAGCCUCACAUAAUAAUGUUACUGAUCUAGUAUAGUAUAGUACAUGUACUGAGAGUAGGGUGUAAUUUUAUUUAUCUAUGAAUCAGUUUGUGUCUACUUGAGUCAGCGUAUGUGUCAGUCAGAUGGAGCGAAUGAGG